RNAcentral lists this unclassified non-coding RNA (210 nucleotides) under soil metagenome. RNAcentral describes it as "partial contains 5.8S ribosomal RNA, internal transcribed spacer 2, and large subunit ribosomal RNA". The record is from RNAcentral.
AACGGUCUAUACCUGCGGUACCUGCGGAGGGAUCAUUACAGAGUUAUUUAAACUCCUAAACCCAUGUGUAUUUACCAGUUUGUUGCCUCGGUCGACCCUGCCCUUGGGGGGUAAUUCUAGGGUAGGCCGAAGGCCCAUAUAAACUCUUGAAUAUUUGGUUAUCUGAGGUUUUAUUUUUAAAUAAGUUAAAACUUUUAACAACGGAUCUCU